Molecule: long non-coding RNA, 1743 nt
Filed under: Bos grunniens (domestic yak)
Lineage: Eukaryota; Metazoa; Chordata; Mammalia; Artiodactyla; Bovidae
Description: lncRNA (ENSBGRG00000003325.1)
Source: RNAcentral
AUGAGGAGGAAGAGGAGGAGGAGGAAGACACCCUCCUCCCCUGCGCUCGGGCGACCAGGCAAAAGGUCUGGCGCUUUCUCCCGGCCCCCAGGCCCCGGCUCCCGGGAGGCCUCGCCCCGGCACCCCCAGCCCUCCGCAACUUUCCCUCCGCUCGCGCCCGCCUCUCCUCCGGGACCGAGGCCUGUCGGGCGCCUUCCCGCCCGCCCUCCCUUUCCCCCCCGCCCCGACCCCGGGCGGGCGGCCGGCCGACCUCGAGCCGCGGCGCCUCCUCCUAAAAUGGCAGGUCCCUCCCUCCGCCCGACCGGCCUCGGCGCGGGCCCCGGCUACAGGCCACAGGGAGGGAAGCCGGGCCGCCGGGCGCCGGGCGGGGCCGCGGCCGGACACUCACCGGGACGAUGGCGGGGCGCUCGCGCCGUUCCCUCCGGUGAGUCUCUGCCGCCGGCUUCCCGCCGCCGCCGCCGCUGCGCCCCCGCCGCGGCCUCCGCCGCCAGCGCCGCCCCGGCCGCCUCUCUCUCCGCCCCGGCGCUCCGGCUCCGCGGCCUCCGAGCCGCAGCCUCCUCAGGUCUCGCUCCGCUCGCGCCCGCCUCUCCUCCGGGACCGAGGCCUGUCAGGCGCCUUCCCGCCCGCCCUCCCUUUCCCCGCCCCGACCCCGGGCGGGCGGCCGGCCGACCUCGAGCCGCGGCGCCUCCUCCUAAAAUGGCAGGUCCCUCCCUCCGCCCGACCGGCCUCGGCGCGGGCCCCGGCUACAGGCCACAGGGAGGGAAGCCGGGCCGCCGGGCGCCGGGCGGGGCCGCGGCCGGACACUCACCGGGACGAUGGCGGGGCGCUCGCGCCGUUCCCUCCGGUGAGUCUCUGCCGCCGGCUUCCCGCCGCCGCCGCCGCUGCGCCCCCGCCGCGGCCUCCGCCGCCAGCGCCGCCCCGGCCGCCUCUCUCUCCGCCCCCGGCGCUCCCGGCUCCGCGGCCUCCGAGCCGCAGCCUCCUCAGGUCUCGCUGCCCGGCUCGCGGGUCCGAACUGCGCCCGGUGGGGCGGGGGUGUGUGUGGAGGCCGGGGAGGCGGCAGCCCCCCUCCCCGGCAAAUACCGCAGUCCCCGGACCCCGAGCCCCGCGGCGCGGCGGGGGCCGCGCGGCCCGGCCCGGCCCGGCGCGGAGGGCGGCGGCGGCGGCGAGGCCGGGCGCCCAGUCGCGGCCGCCAGCAGCGGCGGCUUCUUUUUCCCCGAGGUGGAUUUUGUAAAUCUCACAAAAUGGCGCGCGCUCCAAAGCUGCGCAGCGAGGAGCGCCGGGGCCCGAGCGGCGGCGGCGGCGGCGGCGGCUCCUCAGCCAGGAGAGCCCGAACCGCCCGCCCCCGAGUCCCCGCACGGACAGACGGACACACACUCACACUCUCACACACACACGCGCGCACGCACCCUCGCACACGCUCCCUUACACACACACACACACACACACACACACUCUCUCACACUCACACCGGUCCCGCCCGCUCGCCGGCGGCGGCGGCGGCGGCGGCGGCAGCGGCACCAACAGCAGCAGCAGGAACAGCAGCACAAGCAGCGGCGGCGGCGGCGGCGGCGCCCGCACCCCCCGCUCGGGGUGUCCGCUCUCCUGAGCCCGACCUGGGCCGCGAUCAGCAGCAGCGACGGCAGCAGUCUCCCCGGAUCCCCCUGCCGCUCUCGCCGCCGCCACCCCCGCCUCACUCCAAUGGGGCUUUUUAUUAUUAUUCGGGCGGGAAGCGAAAGGGUUUAA